Non-coding RNA from Phalacrocorax carbo (great cormorant), 1231 nucleotides. The record is from RefSeq and is a predicted model, not a curated record. NCBI's taxonomy places the organism in Eukaryota, Metazoa, Chordata, Aves, Suliformes, Phalacrocoracidae.
GCCGCACCACCGCCGCCUACACCGGCCGCCCCCACCCGCCGCCCCGGGGCGCUCAGCGCCGGCCCCCGCCGCCCCGUCCCGCCGCCGCCACCGCCAGCAGCGCCGCCGCCAUGAGCGCAGGGCCGCGCGCCUGGCUGCCAGUCAGCGGCUGGGGCGGGGCCCGCGCAGGCGGACAGCGGCGAGGGGGCGGGGCGGGGCGGGGCCGGCGGCCGCCCUGGGGCAGGACGGACGGACGGACGGACGGAAGGAAGGAGGGAGGGAAGGAAGGAGGGAGGGAGGGAUCCCGGCACCUGUCGCCGCGGGCAGGUGCCGCCAGCCUCGAGGAGGUUCCCAGAGUGAAGAGCGGCGAAGGCCCCUCAGGGGAAGGCGGCCCAGCCGCCCUCGCUGCUGCUGCGGGGACCUGGCCGCGCCUCUCCAGCCGCGGGUACGGAAGUAACGCACGGUCGUGGGCGGUAAUUCAUCCUCAACAUCAGCAAAAAGCCUCGAGAUUAGUGACGUUGUGAUGUUUCUGCUUAGAUACAUUCACGUAUUGCCUUAAUCCUGAUUUACUGGCCGAAACAACUUUAUUUUAUUAAGACCACUACUACAAUGGCUUUCUGACUUCUAACCAAGCAACAACUGUGAACUAGGGCAAAUCUAUUGAGACUGUUGUUUUACUUAAAUUUGUAUUGUGGUCAUCAGGAAAACCUCCAGCUUGCCUUUACUCAUGUCAAUAGUAAAGGACAGAAAGAUGAGCAGGCAGAACACCUAGACUGGGAGAUCGAUGGAUGGAUAUGGAGACUGCAGAGGAGCAGAAUCCACCAAGUCAAAUAACCCAGAAAAAAAGAGGAAGGAGUUUCCUCUUUACACCACCAAGCCCCACCCUGAAACUUCUCAUAACCUAAAUAAAACACAGUGAACUAUUCAAAAGGCAAAUAUUUAUUAGGUACAUUGAACUUUAAAAAACUUUCAAAGAAUUAUGCAAGAAAUGUAUUUAAAUAACAGGUGUUAUUGCAAUUGGGCUACAUUACAAAAUCACUUUUCUACUGUCUGCACAAUCUGAAGACCUUAAUGUUAUAUGCAAGAUAACGUGACACUGACUCUGGCACAUGGUAAGUGGUCUGCACUUUUUUUGUUCAAAUGUCAUUUGUGCUGCACUAGGUUGUUCUUGAAGACAAGAUCUUUGCAGAACUACACCUUUUGUGUGUCAGUAAAAGGAGCUGGCAAGGAAUAACAUGAACUGCUAUUUUCC